UACGGAGGAUGCAAGCGUUAUCCGGAAUGAUUGGGCGUAAAGCGUCCGCAGGUGGCAAUGUAAGUCUGCUGUCAAAGCGUCUGGCUCAACCAGAUAAAGGCAGUGGAAACUACAUAGCUAGAGUAAGGUAGGGGUAGAGGGAAUUCCUGGUGUAGCGGUGAAAUGCGUAGAGAUCAGAAGGAACUCCGGUGGCGAAAGCGACGUGCUGGACCUCUUCUGACGCUGAGGCGCGAAAGCUAGGGGAGCGAACGGG
This 253-nucleotide ribosomal RNA is filed under the name uncultured bacterium. RNAcentral describes it as "partial 16S ribosomal RNA". It matches the Rfam family "Bacterial small subunit ribosomal RNA", at positions 524 to 776 of the family's 1533-position model. The record is from RNAcentral.